CAGCAGCCGCGGUAAUACGAGGGGGGCAAGCGUUGUUCGGAAUUAUUGGGCGUAAAGGGUGCGUAGGCGGCUUGACAAGUCUUGUGUGAAAUCUAUGGGCUCAACCCAUAGUCUGCACGGGAAACUGUCGGGCUUGAGAACGGGAGAGGUGAGUGGAAUUUCCGGUGUAGCGGUGAAAUGCGUAGAUAUCGGAAGGAACACCUGUGGCGAAAGCGGCUCACUGGACCAUUUCUGACGCUGAUGCACGAAAGCUAGGGGAGCAAACAGGAUUAGAUACCCCAGUAGUCCCUGUCUCUUAUAC
Molecule: ribosomal RNA, 301 nt
Filed under: uncultured bacterium
Lineage: Bacteria
Description: partial 16S ribosomal RNA
Rfam family: Bacterial small subunit ribosomal RNA
Source: RNAcentral